AACGAACGCUGGCGGCAGGCUUAACACAUGCAAGUCGAACGCCCCGCAAGGGGAGUGGCAGACGGGUGAGUAACGCGUGGGAAUCUACCCAGAUCUUCGGAACAACUGAGGGAAACUUCAGCUAAUACCGGAUACGCCCUACGGGGGAAAGAUUUAUCGGUUCUGGAUGAGCCCGCGUUUGGAUUAGCUAGUUGGUGAGGUAAUGGCUCACCAAGGCGACGAUCCAUAGCUGGUCUGAGAGGAUGAUCAGCCACACUGGGACUGAGACACGGCCCAGACUCCUACGGGAGGCAGCAGUGGGGAAUAUUGGACAAUGGGCGAAAGCCUGAUCCAGCCAUGCCGCGUGAGUGAUGAAGGCCUUAGGGUUGUAAAGCUC
This 376-nucleotide ribosomal RNA is filed under the name uncultured bacterium. RNAcentral describes it as "bacterial SSU rRNA". It matches the Rfam family "Bacterial small subunit ribosomal RNA", at positions 29 to 433 of the family's 1533-position model. The record is from RNAcentral.